GGUUAAGCGACUAAGCGUACACGGUGGAUGCCCUGGCAGUCAGAGGCGAUGAAGGACGUGCUAAUCUGCGAUAAGCGUCGGUAAGGUGAUAUGAACCGUUAUAACCGGCGAUUUCCGAAUGGGGAAACCCAGUGUGUUUCGACACACUAUCAUUAACUGAAUCCAUAGGUUAAUGAGGCGAACCGGGGGAACUGAAACAUCUAAGUACCCCGAGGAAAAGAAAUCAACCGAGAUUCCCCCAGUAGCGGCGAGCGAACGGGGAGCAGCCCAGAGCCUGAAUCAGUGUGUGUGUUAGUGGAAGCGUCUGGAAAGGCGCGCGAUACAGGGUGACAGCCCCGUACACAAAAAUGCACAUAUUGUGAGCUCGAUGAGUAGGGCGGGACACGUGGUAUCCUGUCUGAAUAUGGGGGGACCAUCCUCCAAGGCUAAAUACUCCUGACUGACCGAUAGUGAACCAGUACCGUGAGGGAAAGGCGAAAAGAACCCCGGCGAGGGGAGUGAAAAAGAACCUGAAACCGUGUACGUACAAGCAGUGGGAGCACGCUUAGGCGUGUGACUGCGUACCUUUUGUAUAAUGGGUCAGCGACUUAUAUUCUGUAGCAAGGUUAACCGAAUAGGGGAGCCGAAGGGAAACCGAGUCUUAACUGGGCGUUAAGUUGCAGGGUAUAGACCCGAAACCCGGUGAUCUAGCCAUGGGCAGGUUGAAGGUUGGGUAACACUAACUGGAGGACCGAACCGACUAAUGUUGAAAAAUUAGCGGAUGACUUGUGGCUGGGGGUGAAAGGCCAAUCAAACCGGGAGAUAGCUGGUUCUCCCCGAAAGCUAUUUAGGUAGCGCCUCGUGAAUUCAUCUCCGGGGGUAGAGCACUGUUUCGGCAAGGGGGUCAUCCCGACUUACCAACCCGAUGCAAACUGCGAAUACCGGAGAAUGUUAUCAUGGGAGACACACGGCGGGUGCUAACGUCCGUCGUGAAGAGGGAAACAACCCAGACCGCCAGCUAAGGUCCCAAAGUCAUGGUUAAGUGGGAAACGAUGUGGGAAGGCCCAGACAGCCAGGAUGUUGGCUUAGAAGCAGCCAUCAUUUAAAGAAAGCGUAAUAGCUCACUGGUCGAGUCGGCCUGCGCGGAAGAUGUAACGGGGCUAAACCAUGCACCGAAGCUGCGGCAGCGACGCUGAUGCGUUGUUGGGUAGGGGAGCGUUCUGUAAGCCUGCGAAGGUGUGCUGUGAGGCAUGCUGGAGGUAUCAGAAGUGCGAAUGCUGACAUAAGUAACGAUAAAGCGGGUGAAAAGCCCGCUCGCCGGAAGACCAAGGGUUCCUGUCCAACGUUAAUCGGGGCAGGGUGAGUCGACCCCUAAGGCGAGGCCGAAAGGCGUAGUCGAUGGGAAACAGGUUAAUAUUCCUGUACUUGGUGUUACUGCGAAGGGGGGACGGAGAAGGCUAUGUUGGCCGGGCGACGGUUGUCCCGGUUUAAGCGUGUAGGCUGGUUUUCCAGGCAAAUCCGGAAAAUCAAGGCUGAGGCGUGAUGACGAGGCACUACGGUGCUGAAGCAACAAAUGCCCUGCUUCCAGGAAAAGCCUCUAAGCAUCAGGUAACAUCAAAUCGUACCCCAAACCGACACAGGUGGUCAGGUAGAGAAUACCAAGGCGCUUGAGAGAACUCGGGUGAAGGAACUAGGCAAAAUGGUGCCGUAACUUCGGGAGAAGGCACGCUGAUAUGUAGGUGAGGUCCCUCGCGGAUGGAGCUGAAAUCAGUCGAAGAUACCAGCUGGCUGCAACUGUUUAUUAAAAACACAGCACUGUGCAAACACGAAAGUGGACGUAUACGGUGUGACGCCUGCCCGGUGCCGGAAGGUUAAUUGAUGGGGUCAGCGCAAGCGAAGCUCUUGAUCGAAGCCCCGGUAAACGGCGGCCGUAACUAUAACGGUCCUAAGGUAGCGAAAUUCCUUGUCGGGUAAGUUCCGACCUGCACGAAUGGCGUAAUGAUGGCCAGGCUGUCUCCACCCGAGACUCAGUGAAAUUGAACUCGCUGUGAAGAUGCAGUGUACCCGCGGCAAGACGGAAAGACCCCGUGAACCUUUACUAUAGCUUGACACUGAACAUUGAGCCUUGAUGUGUAGGAUAGGUGGGAGGCUUUGAAGUGUGGACGCCAGUCUGCAUGGAGCCGACCUUGAAAUACCACCCUUUAAUGUUUGAUGUUCUAACGUUGACCCGUAAUCCGGGUUGCGGACAGUGUCUGGUGGGUAGUUUGACUGGGGCGGUCUCCUCCUAAAGAGUAACGGAGGAGCACGAAGGUUGGCUAAUCCUGGUCGGACAUCAGGAGGUUAGUGCAAUGGCAUAAGCCAGCUUGACUGCGAGCGUGACGGCGCGAGCAGGUGCGAAAGCAGGUCAUAGUGAUCCGGUGGUUCUGAAUGGAAGGGCCAUCGCUCAACGGAUAAAAGGUACUCCGGGGAUAACAGGCUGAUACCGCCCAAGAGUUCAUAUCGACGGCGGUGUUUGGCACCUCGAUGUCGGCUCAUCACAUCCUGGGGCUGAAGUAGGUCCCAAGGGUAUGGCUGUUCGCCAUUUAAAGUGGUACGCGAGCUGGGUUUAGAACGUCGUGAGACAGUUCGGUCCCUAUCUGCCGUGGGCGCUGGAGAACUGAGGGGGGCUGCUCCUAGUACGAGAGGACCGGAGUGGACGCAUCACUGGUGUUCGGGUUGUCAUGCCAAUGGCACUGCCCGGUAGCUAAAUGCGGAAGAGAUAAGUGCUGAAAGCAUCUAAGCACGAAACUUGCCCCGAGAUGAGUUCUCCCUGACUCCUUGAGAGUCCUGAAGGAACGUUGAAGACGACAACGUUGAUAGGCCGGGUGUGUAAGCGCAGCGAUGCGUUGAGCUAACCGGUACUAAUGAACCGUGAGGCUUAACCUU
RNAcentral lists this ribosomal RNA (2904 nucleotides) under Escherichia coli. Its description in RNAcentral is "23S ribosomal RNA". It matches the Rfam family "Bacterial large subunit ribosomal RNA". Lineage: Bacteria; Pseudomonadati; Pseudomonadota; Gammaproteobacteria; Enterobacterales; Enterobacteriaceae. The record is from RNAcentral.